AAUAGCCUCACUGCCCUAAAAAUAGCAAAGGAGAAGGAAACAUUUAAAAGUUGUGUAUGUGCGUGCACCUGCAUGCACAGCCAGGCUCAUUCUGCAAACGAAAUGUCACGUUCUUCAAUGACCUCCAGGAUAACAAGCUUGAAAUUGCAGCUUCAAAACUGUACUGUGUCUACAGCUUUUGAAAUAAUUGCAGUGGCAUGUUGCAUGCCAUCCUCAUGCAUGAAAGUGCUGCUCCCAACACCUCAGCAAAACUUUGUGAUGAGCUAUGACGAGGAGGGAACAAACCAAACCAUGAUGUUUCUGGCUCAUUCCAACAUCACACAGCAAUACACACGAUCCAGAUAAUGACUGCACACGCCAUUCAGAAGGAACAUUUCACCUUCAUUUGCAUGCAGGAAUGCUGUAUUAACACACAUGAAGAAGCAAAGUGAAGCCAAGGCAUUGAGGUGAGUCCCACACCUGCAGGAGUGUGCACAUUACCUGAGAGCUCUUGGGUCAAGCUGCUCAAACUGAAAUCCCCACCCCGUUCAGCCAGCUUGCUGUGAGCCCAAACAACUCCUCUCACUCAAACAGGAACAAAC
Molecule: long non-coding RNA, 581 nt
Filed under: Cyanistes caeruleus (blue tit)
Lineage: Eukaryota; Metazoa; Chordata; Aves; Passeriformes; Paridae
Description: lncRNA (ENSCCEG00000008470.1)
Source: RNAcentral